GAUGAACGCUAGCUACAGGCUUAACACAUGCAAGUCGAGGGGCAGCAUGACGAUAGCUUGCUAUUGUUGAUGGCGACCGGCGCACGGGUGAGUAACGCGUAUCCAACCUUCCCGUUGCUAGGGGAUAACCUUGCGAAAGUAAGAUUAAUGCCCUAUGUGGUGUUUUGAGGACAUCUGAAGAGCACCAAAGGUUUACCGCUUAACGAUGGGGAUGCGUCUGAUUAGGUUGUUGGCGGGGCAACGGCCCACCAAGCCUACGAUCAGUAGGGGUUCUGAGAGGAAGGUCCCCCCACAUUGGAACUGAGACACGGUCCAAACUCCUACGGGAGGCAGCAGU
Molecule: ribosomal RNA, 337 nt
Filed under: uncultured bacterium
Lineage: Bacteria
Description: bacterial SSU rRNA
Rfam family: Bacterial small subunit ribosomal RNA
Source: RNAcentral